GGAGAAAUUACAAAACCUUCAAAGCGGCUCUUCUGCAGGUUUGUCAUCGCCGACAAUUCAAUUUUCACUCUUUUUUCAACAAGUGAAACGAGAGAUGUAAAGCUUCAGAAAGGUGAUAAAAACAAGAUAAUUAAAUCAAUCAUAUCCGACUGAAGGUCAGUAACAAAAAUAAUUUAUAUUUCUAUGCAUAGUACAUUUGAAAAACGCAACACUUUGGGCUGCAUAAUAUGGAGUAAGUGACAUACGAAAGUUUUGUAAAUUAAUCUAGAAUGAAAUACGCUCUACGACAGUUAAAAAUAUGAUUUAUCAAAGUAGGAAAGUAAUCACAAUAAAUAAUCAACAGAAUUGAAAAAUUCAAGAAAGUUUAUGUAAGAUUCAUUCAGAAUACAUUGACAGUACAACUAGUUAACCAAACCAGGUCCAACUGACAAAACGAACAGAUCUCAAAAAAUACCAUUCCCUACAGCUACAUUCACCACACACAUGAAAAAUCAUAUAUUUUGGACGCAAUAACAUUAUUUAAAGAUGAAAAAUAUACAUUGUACUCGACAAAGGUACUCGAGAAAAAUACUGCGCAACUCAAAGGGACGUAGUGCACUAUUGAAUAUAUCAGUGCGUAUACUGCGAGGUUACAUUGGGACCAUUGCCAUGGUGAUCAUAUGACUUAGAUCUAAGUAAAACCAUAUAGCCGUAGUCGUUAAAUUA
Molecule: long non-coding RNA, 705 nt
Organism: Xenia sp. Carnegie-2017
Lineage: Eukaryota; Metazoa; Cnidaria; Anthozoa; Malacalcyonacea; Xeniidae
Exons: 2
Source: RefSeq, a predicted model, not a curated record